UACGUAGGUGGCAAGCGUUGUCCGGAUUUACUGGGCGUAAAGGGCGUGCAGGCGGUCUGUUAAGUCUAGGGUGAAAGCUCCCGGCUCAACUGGGAGAGGUCCUUGGAUACUGGCGGACUUGAGGGAGGCAGAGGAGAAUAGAAUUCCCGGUGUAGUGGUGAUAUGCGUAGAUAUCGGGAGGAAUACCAGUGGCGAAGGCGGUUCUCUGGGCCUUACCUGACGCUGAGACGCGAAAGCGUGGGGAGCAAACAGG
Molecule: ribosomal RNA, 253 nt
Filed under: uncultured bacterium
Lineage: Bacteria
Description: partial 16S ribosomal RNA
Rfam family: Bacterial small subunit ribosomal RNA
Source: RNAcentral